AAAGUCGUAACAAGGUCUCCGUAGGUGAACCUGCGGAGGGAUCAUUAAUGAAUGGCUUCGUCGAGGCCUUCGACCCAUAGACCCGUGGAUGACAAGCGUGCUUCGGCGCUUCGGCGCCGGCCUUAUGCAUUCGUCGGCCUGUGUCUGAAUCAAAAACAGCGAUCAAAACUUUCAACAAAGGAUCUCUUGGCUCUC
This 195-nucleotide unclassified non-coding RNA is filed under the name Ascomycota sp. Its description in RNAcentral is "partial contains small subunit ribosomal RNA, internal transcribed spacer 1, and 5.8S ribosomal RNA". The stretch from base 1 to 47 matches the Rfam family "Eukaryotic small subunit ribosomal RNA", at positions 1785 to 1831 of the family's 1831-position model. Lineage: Eukaryota; Fungi; Ascomycota. The record is from RNAcentral.